This is a long non-coding RNA of Heterocephalus glaber (naked mole-rat), 858 nucleotides long. NCBI's taxonomy places the organism in Eukaryota, Metazoa, Chordata, Mammalia, Rodentia, Bathyergidae. The record is from Ensembl.
CAAGCUUAUCCAGGCAGGGACUUUGUUUUGUUUAUUGAUGUAUUCCAGAGUCUAGAAUAGAGCCUGGGAUGUAGUAACUCAGGAAAUGAAAUGUUCUUGAGGAAAUGAUCCCUGGUGCAACCUGCAGGAAGUGCAAGAAGGGAGACCAAAGUCUAAGUGGGGUGGCCAUCUUUUGCCUGACCAAAUCCUAACUCUCUCCUGCCAAGUAUGCAAAGCUUGUGGGACUAGCGGUCAUCUCAGUGGUAAGAGGACCGUCCCCAGAUUGAUUAUGGCCUGCAGGCAGAGGGCCAAGGUAGGAGCUAUAGCAGCUCAAGGAGAGCACAGUCUUCUCCAUCAGGGAUUUUCCCUGUCUGAUGGAGGAGAUAAGAUCUCUGCCUUGGAGAACCUCCAGUCUGAUGAGGGAGGCAGAAUACACACACACACACAUACCCCACACACUAAUAUGCCACUUGUUGGAAGGUCUGGGAAAGCUUCCUGACAGAGUGGGCUUUACAUGAGGUUUGUGGAAGAGGGAGGGAGAGUACGGUGGAGAGGAAGAAGCCGGAGGGAGAAUGGGUCAACUGGUCACUUUCACCUUUGCAGCCACCUGUGAGCCAGCCUGGUUUCUGGACCCCUGGCCGGAGUCGUGACCGGCACAGCCUUUCAGUGGGCUUCCUAGCCAUCACGAAGCACUCGUUUUUAGCAGAGGAGAAAGACUGUUGGCAGAGGACAGGAAUAGCUUUCCGAGCUGUUCCCCACUCGCUGCACCAGGACCUCCAUUUGUUUGCCCAGUGGCUUUCUCAGGCUACAGGAACCUGUUCAGCAGAUGCACCUGAGGUAGACCAGAAGUACCACAGAAUGGGUAGGUCUACUCUGGCU